GAUGAACGCUAGCUACAGGCUUAACACAUGCAAGUCGAGGGGCAGCACUAGGUAGCAAUACUGAGGUGGCGACCGGCGCACGGGUGCGUAACGCGUAUCCAACCUUCCCGUUACUCUUGGGAUAGCCUUCCGAAAGGGAGAUUAAUACAAGAUGGUAUUCAAAUUCCGCAUGUUAUUUGAAUUAAAGAUUUAUCGGUAACGGAUGGGGAUGCGUGACAUUAGAUAGUAGGCGGGGUAACGGCCCACCUAGUCUACGAUGUCUAGGGGGUUCUGAGAGGAAGGCCCCCCACACUGGAACUGAGACACGGUCCAGACUCCUACGGGAGGCAGCAGUGAGGAAUAUUGGUCAAUGGUCGGAAGACUGAACCAGCCAAGUAGCGUGAAGGAUGAAGGUUCUAUGGAUUGUAAACUUCUUUUAUACGGGAAUAAAACCUCCCACGUGUGGGAGCUUGUAUGUACCGUAUGAAUAAGCAUCGGCUAACUCCGUG
This 488-nucleotide ribosomal RNA is filed under the name uncultured bacterium. RNAcentral describes it as "bacterial SSU rRNA". It matches the Rfam family "Bacterial small subunit ribosomal RNA", at positions 28 to 507 of the family's 1533-position model. The record is from RNAcentral.